Molecule: long non-coding RNA, 1908 nt
Organism: Rhododendron vialii
Lineage: Eukaryota; Viridiplantae; Streptophyta; Magnoliopsida; Ericales; Ericaceae
Exons: 3
Source: RefSeq, a predicted model, not a curated record
UUGAUGGUAUGAAGUUUGGGUUCCAUCAAAGUGAACAUAACUUGUGAGGGGUGUAAGCUCAAUCAUGGGUAACACUUAGAGACAACAUUUUGUUUAAGACUGGCUGUGUCGUUAUGUUCACAUUUUUCUACUUUUUUGCGCUAUUUGAUGUAGAUAUGAAGAAAAACAAAAAAAGAAACAGUUGAAAGAUGAAAGAUAAGAAUAUUAUAGCCUUGAAUAUGUUCUUAUCUUAAUAGUGUUCGUUCUAUUGUCAUUGAGAUUACUUGCAGUUAGUUUUUCUCAUUUCUUUUCUUUAGCUUUCGUGUUUCGUAUACCCAUUUGACUAUUUUUUCCUGGUCCUUUUUUCCCUAAUUGUUUGGAUUUGUGAAAAAUUGUUCUUGGCAAAGUGAAAAUCUAUAGCUACUUGUUUCGGUUUCUAUCUCUCUAUUGGUGAGGAAAUAGUCAUAUAUGUGUGCAUUUGUUAUUUUAGAGCUUCAAAUCUACCUUUUUUCUCAGACUCAUGUAGAGUUUUUUCAGGGUCGUAGAAGUUCUCAAGUAGGGCAUUUCCCCUUGAUGGGUUUCACGUAACAUAGUGUUCUCUACAGCUAUUACUAUGCGACCUACAAAUCAUGAUAGAAGAAGCCAUCACAUGCUUUUUAUCUAUGCAAGUGAGUCGGUGAUGAUUUUGUUGACUUAUUCGGUGAAUAUGGGUCAAUUUACCUAAGGAAACCCAUAGUUGAGGAGUAGUAUCAUUUUCUGAGUGGAAAGAACAUUUUUCCUUAACUUGAUUGAUAAUUUGCCAUUUGUGUCGCUUCACUUUUUCUUCUUGUCCUUAUAGUGGAUUGAUUCCUUGCUGCAAAUUUGUUGAAUGCAGCAUGUAGCAUACCAUUUUUUUGUUAGUGGUCUCAUUCAAACAUUUUACAACUUUGAUGUUGCAUUCUUUCCUUUCUUAUAUGUUUGUCAUUUGGUCCUACUUAAUUAUUCCCUUUAUAAGUGUUGACUAUCAUGUAUUUGUUUGGAUUUGAAGUUCUCAUUUUCUUUAAUAGUGUGGUUCAACUUUUAAAGAAUUUGGAAUCAUGAAUUGUUUGGAUCACUGACUAAUUAGAUUUCGAAAUCCAACAAAAAACAUAAGAUAAUGGAAUUAUGACUUUUCUAGUGCAUUAGACUGCUCUAGUGUGUUUGAUCAUAGAAUUUAGGUUGCUUAAUUUUUAUGCAUCUUAGUGUAGGUUGUUUGAGGUGGUAGGAGGGAGAAGAUUUUGAUACGCGAUAUUGUUGAGUGAUAUUUGAUGAUCAGAUUGUUCAGGAGGGUCUAGAGAUGAGGAGAGAGACAGUUACAUAGAAAGUUUGGGUGGAGGAGGUGGGGUAGGAGGUAUGCGAUGGUGAACUUAAAGUCCAAUGGGUGGCGUGUGGGUUGCAGACUCAGGGUGGGAAUUCUUGGAUUCAAAAAUAGGUGGGGAUCAACCCUAAGUGAUAAGUGGCAGAAUUAGUAUUUACCACCGAGUGUACAAGCAGCAUUUAAAGGGCACUAGUUGAGCUGAGCUUAUAGAAAAAGAGACAACAAAGAGGAGGACGGGUAUACUGAUAUGGGCUCUCAAGACCAUGGAUCUCAGUAAUUUGUUUCAGAUUUCUUCUCCUUCUUCUUCUCCAAGACAAUUAUACGAGAAUUCGGUUGGUAUGGCAUUAAAGGAUCAAUGCGUGGAAACAAGAGUUGCUGUAGAAGACGAUAUUCAGCUAGAUUAAAAGAUUGAGAAGAAUUGUGCAAGUUAGUAAAACAUUGGGGCUUGGAUUCAGAGGAAUUAGACGGGAUGAUCCUCAACUAUUGGAAAAGCUAGUAGAAAAAAUGAAAAACCUAAUCAGGAAUGGGGAAUAUCAAAUUGGGGUGUGAUCUUCCUAUCCUAUUUAGCAGGUAUUUGAGGUGUUUUGAAUGUG